CUGUUAGUUCAAAAGAUUGCUGCAGAGCACCAUGGUUCUGAUUUUGUUUUUGUGGAAGAGCCAAAUGCUAAAGAGGAACUGUGGAAGAUCAGGAAGGAGGCACUUUGGGCUGGUUUUGCCAUGGAACCUGAUCGUCAAGCUAUGAUAACGGAUGUUUGUGUUCCAUUGUCUGGACUUGCAGAAUGCAUAUCUGUAUCUAAGCAACUACUUGAUGC
Long non-coding RNA from Triticum dicoccoides, 215 nucleotides. RefSeq lists it as uncharacterized. NCBI's taxonomy places the organism in Eukaryota, Viridiplantae, Streptophyta, Magnoliopsida, Poales, Poaceae. The transcript is spliced from 3 exons. The record is from RefSeq and is a predicted model, not a curated record.